UAAUAUUAAUUGUGAUGAUAUUUUUGUAGGAAUCUCAUUGAAUUCCGUUUAACGUUAUAGUGAAAUCAAUUUAAUUACUGAAAUAACUAGAUAGAC
Molecule: small nucleolar RNA, 96 nt
Organism: Zeugodacus cucurbitae (melon fly)
Lineage: Eukaryota; Metazoa; Arthropoda; Insecta; Diptera; Tephritidae
Product: small nucleolar RNA Me28S-Am2634
Exons: 1
Source: RefSeq, a predicted model, not a curated record